CAGGACCCUCUGCAGAAGCAGGGAGCUCUGAGUCUGCACCUGGCAGGGAACUCUCAGCUGUGGCAUCUGUGAGGAAGGAAGGAGGGAGCUCUCUGUCCCGGGGACAAUGGCCAGAUUCUGCUUCCUGCUGUUCGUCUCUGUGGCCACCAGAGGGUGGAGUGCAGCAGUGGUCCAGGCUCCUGAGAUGUUCCAGGUGGGCAAAACCUGUGCCUCCUCCCUUUCUUUCCUGCCUAGAAGCUGCAAGGAACUCAAAGAAAGUUGCAAUAGAGCA
Non-coding RNA from Equus caballus (horse), 271 nucleotides. Lineage: Eukaryota; Metazoa; Chordata; Mammalia; Perissodactyla; Equidae. The record is from RefSeq and is a predicted model, not a curated record.